UACCAGCGCCCCGAGCGGUCGGGACGUUUAUUGGGCCUAAAGCAUCCGUAGCCGGUUCUACAAGUCUUCCGUUAAAUCCACCUGCUUAACAGAUGGGCUGCGGAAGAUACUAUGGAGCUAGGAGGCGGGAGAGGCAAGCGGUACUCGAUGGGUAGGGGUAAAAUCCGUUGAUCCAUUGAAGACCACCAGUGGCGAAGGCGGCUUGCCAGAACGCGCUCGACGGUGAGGGAUGAAAGCUGGGGGAGCAAACCGG
This 253-nucleotide ribosomal RNA is filed under the name uncultured bacterium. RNAcentral's name for it is "partial 16S ribosomal RNA". It matches the Rfam family "Archaeal small subunit ribosomal RNA", at positions 474 to 727 of the family's 1478-position model. The record is from RNAcentral.